GAUCUAGCCACAAACCAUCAUGAGGUUGCCUCUGCCGUUUGUGUUUGCAACUACAGUUAUAUUGUUGAGUGUUUUAUUCCAGGAAUCUUCUGUCUCCACGGCUGCAGUUAGAAUUCCAGUGCGGCGGAUGGUGGAUGAAGUCGGUACUCAGGAGAAAACUACAAAAUCGCCUUGCUUCUUCAGAAGGAUCCUGUUUAACGCUACAACUGGGACGUACAUUGCAUCCUACAGAUGUUCCCCGCUUCCAAUUCCAGUAGAGACGUCCUAGGUCCAAUACACAACACGCUUCAAAUUAUCGCCUGGUGUAAUGGACUCCACCGUAUUCUACUUCUUCAUCACUCUACUCCUGGUUUCGUGCGGUACUCACGAUACAGAACAGUCACCAUUCUUCGCCAACAUGGCUUCAUCUCAAGAUAUGGACGACGAUCCAAUAAUCUUUCCUGAUUCAACAGAAUAUAGGUGGUUAUAUUAUUACCAGUACCCACCAACUACGCCAACUACGUCCACAACACCCAAAACGGACAGGACCCUGUUUCGUACUCGUACGAUUCAAUGCGAUAAAUGCAAGAAGGUUGACCACAAGGGAAACUGCAGAAGGAUUCAAGGAUGUAGACUGGAUGUAGACUGAGGGAUCCAUAAAGUAAAUUUGUACGUUUUAAUACUAUUGUAUUCUUUCUUUUUUUUCCUGUAGAAUGUAACCAAAGUAGUAAGACUUGGCAAAUAAUUCUAUGUAUCAAAACAGUUAAUAUUGAUAUUUUGAGAAAUAGCACGUAGAAUAAGUGUUUUACUCAAUAAUAAUGAAUUAAAAAUGUCCUUCACUACAAGACAAUAUGGGCUAUUGAUCAUAAUUUUUGUUUUCGUUUCCAUUUUUGGUCCCAAACAUAUUGCGGAAUAUUAUGUUAAAAACAUGAGGAUGGUUUUUAACAAUAAACAUCCACUACUACUAUAAUGUUGUUUAUUAGUAAUGAAUAAAGAGGUUAAUUUAUUACUAAUAUAAAAAAAACAGCCAAAAAAAGAAAUUCACAGGUCCUGGUGAUUGUACUUUUAGAUCAACAUUUUGAAAGUCAAUUACAGAAAUCAUAAAAUACUAAUAAAACCUGAAAUCCACGGUGUGAUGCUAAAGAUGAUACCUUACCUACUAGAAUGUCACACACUUCAUUUUUAAGAAAAGAUUUUUAACUUUCGGCCAGGCCAAUCUUUAGGAGUUAUACAGUUUCCAUUUCAGGUUGGGAAUUAAAAACCUACCCAAAAGUUGUAAUAACUCCUAUUUUCUCCAACCCUUGUUAGGAAAUGUGUGGAGACGGGGUGUAGAAAUGUGGCCAGCACCCCUUCUGCAACACCCUGACUGGUCGAUAUCAGUGAAUAUUAUAGACAAACACUGGUGAAACUGACUAUAAAUCCUAGGCAAAUAUGAACGAACAGAAUUAUUAAUCAGUGAAGGGUAAAUAAGACGUUAAAAGAACACGAAUAACGUAAUUAUUUAAAUUAAUUUAGAUUUCCUCAAGAAGACCAAGAAUGGUGCUUAGGAUUGGGGUGCUAUAUCCCUAAUAUAAUAUCUUUACACAUAAUGUUUUAAUAUCAUGCUGAAAGUGUAUGAUGUGUGCAAUCUCGAAAAGCCUUUUCUAAUCAGUGUUGACAGAAACUAAUAUUGUCAUUGCAUCAAUUAAAAAUCAAAACAUUUAAAAAUAGCUCCUCAUAUUUUAAUCAAUUAGAUUUAAUUAUUAUAUCAAACUAUUUCCCUCGUAAUUCCAAAUUAACGCUUUAACAAUUACAGAUUUUGAAUGUUAACGCAUUAACCACGUUAAACAACUUUUGAAUUUCUUUUAUAUGCAAGAUUUUGUUUCUACCAUUAAUCUAUAAUAGUUUUAUAAAUUCACUAAGAAGCAUAAAAACUGCUACAUUUUUAUAGUUUCAAAGCUGUAAUCUUGUAAAAAACAUUCGGGUUUGCACUAACUAAUAAUAAGUUGUAUAAGUCAAAUAUAUUGUUGGAAUGAGGUAUGUCUGACAUACUACUACUAACAAAGAUUACUAUGCAAUGAGCAACAGUUAUAAAUAUAUUAGUCUAUCGCAAUACUAAAUCAUGCAAAUAAUGUUUAAAAAUAAUGUGUAGCCUAAUAAUGUCGCACACCUAAAAUAAAUAGACCAUGUUUUGAAAAAUCUUUUGUAUUUUUGGGUCCAAAAUGUUAUAAUCGUUUACCCCAAUUCAUUAAAAAUAAUAAUAAUAAAAAAUCAUCAUUGGAAAUAAGAUUAUGGUUGUUAUCAUUAGUUAACAUAAAUAUGAAGUUGCAAAGUUAGAUGAGAUAUAGUAGGCCUAUUGUUAGUUAUAAGAAUACAGUACACUAGGAUUGUCACUGAAAGUUGAGAGAAAUGUUUAGUUUGCGUUAUCAAAGUAACCAUAGAUAUGAGAACGAAGUGCAGUGAUAUGGUUUUGUCUAAGCUUGUAUUUAUUGAGAUAUUUACUGAGAUUUAUUAAGAUAGCAACUGCAGUUAUAGUAAAUUUUGUUUUGUAUCUACUAUCAUAACUUGUAGAAUGGGUAGUAUUUUCUUAUAAGUUUUAUGUUAAUUAUUUGUAUAAUAUUAUUGGAAAUAAACUAUUCUUCUUCUUCUAAAUUUAUUUAUUAAUUAUUUCCCGACCAGCUUAGCUGUUUUUUAAUAUUUCUGAAGAAACAUGACCGAAAACAGCGUACUGCACUAAUUUAAUCUCGCGCAGCAGGAGGUCAGUAAUUGCCCCAUAUUUUGAUUAUUAACGUGAACUCAACUCUUAUCAAUCGAACUUCGGAGUCACGAGGAGGUUACGGAUUAACGUCAGUCAUAAAGGCAACUGUUUUAUUAAAAGGCAUCUCACCAUGCUUUCUUCAUCUCCUUCUAUUAUAUUACUGGCUUUGUUUUUUUUUCGACCUCCAGCGCCUCACCUGCCCCCUCCAGGAGUUCUCAUACACAAGCAGCCUCUUCUGAACCCGACGACCGAGCACUCACACUCCAUGAGUCUUCUGAUCCGCCUUCGGAAAAACCUCCAAGUAAUACCCAACCAGGGAACUCCAUUGACAGGAACUUACUUGAUAUCGCAAUCCAUCAAUGUCCUCAAGGUUACAACAAGAACGCUAGUGGCAACUGCAGAAAAAGCUUGGGUUGAUUACCAGAUGUGAUUAUACGCGAUUGUACUCUACUUACUGGUACUCUGUUUCUUGCAUUGUUUUGUGUUUUUCGCAAGAUAAAGGCCGUGUGUGCUUUUAAUUGUACAUAAAAUAUUGAUGGUAUACACAAACAUUAGUAUUAUAUAAGUGUUUUUUUCACGGAUCCCGACUAAAGAAAAAAUACAUCAGGGCAAUAUAAAAAAAAUGACAAGCAAACACUUUUAUCCAACGCAUUAUAUUUAUAAUGAUUCGUCAUUAAAUCAAUAAAUCGUUUCAACAUUA
RNAcentral lists this unclassified non-coding RNA (3416 nucleotides) under Homalodisca vitripennis (glassy-winged sharpshooter). Its description in RNAcentral is "uncharacterized LOC124362083, transcript variant X7". Lineage: Eukaryota; Metazoa; Arthropoda; Insecta; Hemiptera; Cicadellidae. The record is from RNAcentral.